CCCUUAGAUGUUCUGGGCAGCACGCGCGCUACAAUGGUCUUCGCAAACGGAUGCAUUCUCGAAGGAGAAUGCCAAUCUUGGAAUCUAUGCCUUGGUCGGGACAGUUGCUUGCAAUUUUUCGACUCGAACCAGGAAUUCCUUGUAAUCGUGAUUCAUCACAUCACGAUGAAUACGUCCCUGCCCUUUGUACACACCGCCCGUCGCUCCUACCGAUCGAAGAGUUAGGUGAAUUGUUUUGAUCAAUAAGAUUUGACUAUGGUCAACUCUCGUUGUGAAAUUCUGUGAAUCUGACUGUUUAGAGGAAGGAAAAGUCGUAACA
RNAcentral lists this ribosomal RNA (319 nucleotides) under uncultured eukaryote. Its description in RNAcentral is "partial 18S ribosomal RNA". It matches the Rfam family "Eukaryotic small subunit ribosomal RNA", at positions 1470 to 1796 of the family's 1831-position model. The record is from RNAcentral.